Molecule: small RNA, 354 nt
Filed under: Zea mays
Lineage: Eukaryota; Viridiplantae; Streptophyta; Magnoliopsida; Poales; Poaceae
Description: circ_CRM1
Source: RNAcentral
ACUUCCUCAUUUUCUGCAUGGUUAGUGGCAAUCAUAGCAUGACUAGUUUCCUCAGAAUCACUAGCUGAAGAGUACUCACCAUUGUCACGUAUAAGCAAGGUACGCUUGUUUGGGCAGUCCCGAAUCAUGUGCCCAAACCCUCUGCAACGAUGGCACUGAAUAUCCCGUGUACGUCCUGUGAAGAAGCGGCGCCUUUGGCAGGGGGCGCCACCGGCUUGGUCGUCCCUGUGCGCGAUGUAGUGUUAGGCGUAGAAGGUGCAGGGCUGGAAUAACAUCGCAAUCAGCAUAAUCAGAAUAAGAACCCAGCGAAAAGGGGACACGUACCGAACGUGUUACCUUUAUUUUACCACCACA